GAUAGCCUACGGGACGCAGCAGUGGGGAAUAUUGCACAAUGGGCGAAAGCCUGAUGCAGCAACGCCGCGUGAGCGAUGAAGGCCUUCGGGUCGUAAAGCUCUGUCCUCAAGGAAGAUAAUGACGGUACUUGAGGAGGAAGCCCCGGCUAACUACGUGCCAGCAGCCGCGGUAAUACGUAGGGGGCUAGCGUUAUCCGGAAUUACUGGGCGUAAAGGGUGCGUAGGUGGUUUCUUAAGUCAGAGGUGAAAGGCUACGGCUCAACCGUAGUACGCCUUUGUAACUGGGG
Molecule: ribosomal RNA, 287 nt
Filed under: uncultured bacterium
Lineage: Bacteria
Description: partial 16S ribosomal RNA
Rfam family: Bacterial small subunit ribosomal RNA
Source: RNAcentral